RNAcentral lists this unclassified non-coding RNA (498 nucleotides) under Bombus terrestris (buff-tailed bumblebee). RNAcentral's name for it is "misc RNA ENSBTSG00005026418.1". Lineage: Eukaryota; Metazoa; Arthropoda; Insecta; Hymenoptera; Apidae. The record is from RNAcentral.
GCUUUUCGUCGAUCAUUGGUUUGUUCGUUCACCGAACAGGCAGCGCCUCAAACGUCAAUUAUACGCAAAAGUUCGUCGACCCGAUAUUGCCGAUCGUACAGAAACAUCUACCUACCUUAACCUAACGAAACAAAUUGUCAGUAGUUUCCCUUGUGGGGAAAAGAUCAGUUAGAAACAAUUAAGUCGGUCUGUGCAGCAGCUUAAAUCAGAAACGACACUAAUACGUCUUCCGGGAACACCGAAAGGAGAUCCACGCACCGAUCCCUGCUGUUUCUCUCUCCCGGCUCGUUCUUCUUAUCCCUCGUAAUAAUAAUUACCAACACACCGCGGUGCAGGCACGCCGAGAAACCAACGGCAGCAGCAACACGGAACGAACAGCUAUCUAAAAGCUGUUGUACAUCGAUAAUGGUUCGAUGAUAGCAACGAACGUGUUAAGAGGAAAGAAGACUUGGAUGGUGAGAGUCAAGAUUUUGUAGCUUUUCUACAACGCACGUGAAG